RNAcentral lists this transfer RNA (72 nucleotides) under Balaenoptera acutorostrata scammoni. RNAcentral's name for it is "tRNA-Cys (GCA) (tRNA-Cys-GCA-15-1)". It matches the Rfam family "tRNA". From Rfam's summary of the family: Transfer RNA (tRNA) molecules are approximately 80 nucleotides in length. The record is from RNAcentral. Lineage: Eukaryota; Metazoa; Chordata; Mammalia; Artiodactyla; Balaenopteridae.
GGGGGUAUAGCUCAGUGGUAAAGCAUUUGACUGCAGCUCAAGAGGUCCUUGGUUCAAGUCCAGGUUCCCCCU